RNAcentral lists this transfer RNA (85 nucleotides) under Phakopsora pachyrhizi. Its description in RNAcentral is "tRNA-Trp". It matches the Rfam family "tRNA". Rfam says of the family: Transfer RNA (tRNA) molecules are approximately 80 nucleotides in length. Their secondary structure includes four short double-helical elements and three loops (D, anti-codon, and T loops). Lineage: Eukaryota; Fungi; Basidiomycota; Pucciniomycetes; Pucciniales; Phakopsoraceae. The record is from RNAcentral.
GACUCGAUGGCGCAAUGGUAGCGCGUUCGACUCCAGAACCGAGGUGAACAUCGAAAGGCUGCGUGUUCAAGUCACGUUCGGGUCA